This 248-nucleotide ribosomal RNA is filed under the name Proteomonas sulcata. RNAcentral's name for it is "partial Bacterial large subunit ribosomal RNA". It matches the Rfam family "Bacterial large subunit ribosomal RNA", at positions 2653 to 2910 of the family's 2925-position model. The record is from RNAcentral. Lineage: Eukaryota; Cryptophyceae; Pyrenomonadales; Geminigeraceae.
UGUUGGAUACUUGAGAGGAGCUGCCCCUAGUACGAGAGGACCGGGGUGGACGUAUCUCUGGUGGACCUGUUGUCACGCCAGUGGCAUAGCAGGGUAGCUAAAUACGGACGGGAUAACCGCUGAAGGCAUCUAAGCGGGAAGCCCCCCUCAAAACCAGGUAUCCCUAUCAGAGCCGUGGAAGACCACCACGUUGAUAGGCUGGAAGUGGAAGCGCAGCAAUGCGUGAAGCGGACCAGUACUAAUUGCUC